This 985-nucleotide ribosomal RNA is filed under the name Escherichia coli. RNAcentral describes it as "partial 23S ribosomal RNA". It matches the Rfam family "Bacterial large subunit ribosomal RNA", at positions 165 to 1191 of the family's 2925-position model. Lineage: Bacteria; Pseudomonadati; Pseudomonadota; Gammaproteobacteria; Enterobacterales; Enterobacteriaceae. The record is from RNAcentral.
CAUAGGUUAAUGAGGCGAACCGGGGGAACUGAAACAUCUAAGUACCCCGAGGAAAAGAAAUCAACCGAGAUUCCCCCAGUAGCGGCGAGCGAACGGGGAGGAGCCCAGAGCCUGAAUCAGUGUGUGUGUUAGUGGAAGCGUCUGGAAAGGCGCGCGAUACAGGGUGACAGCCCCGUACACAAAAAUGCACAUGCUGUGAGCUCGAUGAGUAGGGCGGGACACGUGGUAUCCUGUCUGAAUAUGGGGGGACCAUCCUCCAAGGCUAAAUACUCCUGACUGACCGAUAGUGAACCAGUACCGUGAGGGAAAGGCGAAAAGAACCCCGGCGAGGGGAGUGAAAAAGAACCUGAAACCGUGUACGUACAAGCAGUGGGAGCCUCUUUAUGGGGUGACUGCGUACCUUUUGUAUAAUGGGUCAGCGACUUAUAUUCUGUAGCAAGGUUAACCGAAUAGGGGAGCCGAAGGGAAACCGAGUCUUAACUGGGCGUUAAGUUGCAGGGUAUAGACCCGAAACCCGGUGAUCUAGCCAUGGGCAGGUUGAAGGUUGGGUAACACUAACUGGAGGACCGAACCGACUAAUGUUGAAAAAUUAGCGGAUGACUUGUGGCUGGGGGUGAAAGGCCAAUCAAACCGGGAGAUAGCUGGUUCUCCCCGAAAGCUAUUUAGGUAGCGCCUCGUGAAUUCAUCUCCGGGGGUAGAGCACUGUUUCGGCAAGGGGGUCAUCCCGACUUACCAACCCGAUGCAAACUGCGAAUACCGGAGAAUGUUAUCACGGGAGACACACGGCGGGUGCUAACGUCCGUCGUGAAGAGGGAAACAACCCAGACCGCCAGCUAAGGUCCCAAAGUCAUGGUUAAGUGGGAAACGAUGUGGGAAGGCCCAGACAGCCAGGAUGUUGGCUUAGAAGCAGCCAUCAUUUAAAGAAAGCGUAAUAGCUCACUGGUCGAGUCGGCCUGCGCGGAAGAUGUAACGGGGCUAAACCAUG